ACCAUGCUACAGAACUUUGUGGUAACCAAAACACUGGCUACAGCACUCUAAAAGACAAUGCUUGAUUGUCCAGAAUCCCAAUGACCUUUCCAGAAUUGGGGACGAAUUGGGAGCAAGUGCCAUAUACACUUUAGUUGAUUUGAUAAAGAUAAAAUGCUGGUCAAAACUGUAGCCUGAACUUAAUUAGAGGAUGGAAUCAUGCUACAAAUAAUUGAGAUGAUCUAAGAGUUGAAGAUGCAAAGUAGAAGAUGGUUAAGGAUAGAUUCUUUUUCUGGAGCUUUUCCAUUUGAUUAACAGUUGGCAUCAAGCAGAGACUAAAGACAGUCUUCUCAAGAUCUCACAUAGACUCCUCCUCUCCAAUGACACUGCUACUACUACUCUGGGGCCUUCAGACCCUCAUCAUCUCAUGCCUGAACUGAUCCAUCCACUGAGCUUACAUAUCAGUUUUGACUAAGAAAGAUCUAGAGAAAUUUCAUCUACAAAAUGAGGACAAUAUUGCAACUGCCUAUUUCAUAAUAUUGUGAGGAAAGUGCUUUAUAAAUUUUAAAUUGUUAAUAUGCAAGCCCAGAGAAUAAGAAGGAGAAGGAGAAGUUGCCUCUAUCAAGAAUGAGAAGUCUAAGGGGGAAGCCUAGAAAACAGUAGGGAGAAGUAGAAGUUGCCUCUAUCAACAAUCAGAAUGAAAAGUCUAAGGAAGAAUGAACCCUCACUACCACAACCCUUGAUGUGAACAGGAGCUGUCUCUCACUGGUUAUGAGGAAGCAUCCUUCCCGGAGAUGCCACCUUAAAGAUGCCGUUCUAGUGUCAAAAGAACACAGCCUUGCUCCCCACUCCAGAGCUCAAGACCCACAUAUCAGGAAGAAGCUACCUCUUAAUUCCUGUAUCCAACAAACUCGUAAAUUCCCAAUGGGGAAAAGUUCACAGAAGACCAGACCAACGAAUUUGGUCCAGACAGUUCACCACAAGGCCUUUCCCCAGACUGUGGACGCUCCCGUUACCAUAACUAUAUAUACACGUGUGUGUGUGUGUAUGUGUGUGUGUGUGUAAUUGUCUGCUUCCCAAUUUAGUUGCAAAUUAGUACCCAUCCCAAAAAAGUCUCAGCAUCCAUCUGUCGGACACUAAAUAAAAAACACUGUAGCAAAGGGGAUGAGGAGGCAUAAAAGAAAAAA
Molecule: long non-coding RNA, 1166 nt
Organism: Sarcophilus harrisii (Tasmanian devil)
Lineage: Eukaryota; Metazoa; Chordata; Mammalia; Dasyuromorphia; Dasyuridae
Exons: 5
Source: RefSeq, a predicted model, not a curated record